RNAcentral lists this long non-coding RNA (500 nucleotides) under Marmota monax (woodchuck). The record is from RNAcentral. Lineage: Eukaryota; Metazoa; Chordata; Mammalia; Rodentia; Sciuridae.
CAUCAUCUCCACUAUAUCCUUUAUAGCCGUGCACCCAUGGCCUACCAUCUUCCACUAGGCCCCACCUUUUAAAGCACUGAGCUGUGCAACAAACCUUUAACACAUGGGUCUAUGGAGGACAAUCUAGAUCUAAACUACAGCCCAAUCCCAGGUGAAACGACAGCUAGAAAAAGACCUAGAGGAGAGAAUAAAUUCAUUUUCCUAAACAAGACGCAAGAAACACUAUUAGUGACUAAACACUGAAAGUGACAGAUUAGACUGCAUUAAAAUUUGAAACUUCUGUGUUAGGAUUUGGAUCUGAACCGUUCCUUAAAAGCUCAUGUGUUGAAGACUUGGUUCCUCGUACAGCAAUGUCCAGAGGUGGGGCUUUGGAGAAGUGAUUAGAUCAUGAUGACUCUAACCUCAUCAGUGGAUUAAUCCAUUUGGUGGAUUCACAAUUUGAAUGGACUCCUGGGAGGAGGUGGAAGCUGUAGGCAGGUGGGGAAUGGUUUGGAGAAAGC